AACGAACGCUGGCGGCAUGCCUAACACAUGCAAGUCGAACGAGACCUUCGGGUUUAGUGGCGCACGGGUCCGUUACCCGUUGGAACCUGCCCUUAGGUUCGGAAUAACUCCCCGCAUUGGGUGCUAAUACCGGAUCUUGUCCUCCUUCCAACGUUUUUUCGCGUUUGGAUGGGCCCGCCUUCGAUGAGUUUGUUGUUAUGGUAAAAGCCUACGAAAGCUACGAUACAUAGCUGGUCUGUGAGGAUAAUCAGCCACACUGGGACUGAGACACGGCCCAGACUCCUAAGGAAAGGGGAAAUGGGGAAUAUUGGAAAAAGGGGGAGAGGCAGAGCAAGAAAGGAAGGGAGAGUAAUUAAGGAGUUGGGGAUGUAAAGCUCUUUUACAAGGGAUGAUAAUGACAGUACCGGGAGAAUAAGCACCGGCUAAAUCCGUG
This 433-nucleotide ribosomal RNA is filed under the name uncultured bacterium. RNAcentral's name for it is "partial 16S ribosomal RNA". It matches the Rfam family "Bacterial small subunit ribosomal RNA", at positions 29 to 507 of the family's 1533-position model. The record is from RNAcentral.